Molecule: ribosomal RNA, 423 nt
Filed under: uncultured bacterium
Lineage: Bacteria
Description: bacterial SSU rRNA
Rfam family: Bacterial small subunit ribosomal RNA
Source: RNAcentral
AAGACCUUGCGCUUUUGGAGCGGCCGAUGCCUGAUUAGCUAGUUGGUGGGGUAAUGGCCUACCAAAGCUUCGAUCAGUAGCUGGUCUGAGAGGACGGCCAGCCACACUGGGACUGAGACACGGCCCAGACUCCUACGGGAGGCAGCAGUGGGGAAUUUUGGACAAUGGGCGCAAGCCUGAUCCAGCCAUGCCGCGUGAGUGAAGAAGGCCUUCGGGUUGUAAAGCUCUUUCAGCCGGGAAGAAAAGGUUGCGAUUAAUAAUCGCAAUUUAUGACGGUACCGGAAGAAGAAGCACCGGCUAACUACGUGCCAGCAGCCGCGGUAAUACGUAGGGUGCGAGCGUUAAUCGGAAUUACUGGGCGUAAAGGGUGCGCAGGCGGUUUUGUAGGUCAGAUGUGAAAUCCCCGGGCUUAACCUGGGAACU